RNAcentral lists this ribosomal RNA (332 nucleotides) under uncultured Glomeromycotina. RNAcentral's name for it is "LSU rRNA". Lineage: Eukaryota; Fungi; Glomeromycota. The record is from RNAcentral.
CAGUCGUACCGGCGAGAAAUCAACUCUUCGAGUGCGAAUUUGUGGGCGUGCGUGAACUUUACGGUCUCGCUGUUUGCAACGUUUGUGUUCUUGAGGUGUACUUUUUCGUGUGGUAGGUCAACAUCGGUCUUGAUCGCUAUAAAAUAACCGGAGGAAUGUAGCUUCGAUCUUGUAUUGAAGUGUUAUAGCCUCUGGUAGAUGUAGCGAUCGGAACCGAGGAUUGCAACGAAUACCUUUUGGGCUAUCCGCCUGACCUCUGAUAGUUGCUUGGGUGUCGAAAGCUUGCUUACGAUUAUUCAAAACAAUUGCCAAAAGGUUAGAGCGUGAUUACA